GAUGAACGCUGGCGGUCUGCUUAACACAUGCAAGUCGAACGGAAUCCUUCGGGAUUUAGUGGCGGACGGGUGAGUAACGCGCGAGAAUCUGCCUUCAGGUUCGGGACAACAGCUGGAAACGGCUGCUAAUACCGGAUGUGCCGAGAGGUGAAAGCUUUAGUGCCUGAAGAUGAGCUCGCGUCUGAUUAGCUAGCAGGAGUGGUAAUGGCACCCCUAGGCGACGAUCAGUAGCUGGUCUGAGAGGAUGAUCAGCCACACUGGGACUGAGACACGGCCCAGACUCCUACGGGAGGCAGCAGUGGGGAAUUUUCCGCAAUGGGCGCAAGCCUGACGGAGCAAGACCGCGUGAGGGAAGAAGGUCUGUGGAUUGUAAACCUCUUUUGAUGGGGAAGAAGACAGUGACGGUACCCAUCGAAUCAGCCUCGGCUAACUCCGUGCCAGCAGCCGCCGUAA
Molecule: ribosomal RNA, 453 nt
Filed under: uncultured bacterium
Lineage: Bacteria
Description: partial 16S ribosomal RNA
Rfam family: Bacterial small subunit ribosomal RNA
Source: RNAcentral